GACGAACGCUGGCGGCGUGCCUAAUACAUGCAAGUCGAGCGCAGGAAAUCAUCCGAACCCUUCGGGGGGACGUUGAUGGAAUGAGCGGCGGACGGGUGAGUAACACGUAAAGAACCUGCCCUCAGGUCUGGGAUAACCACGAGAAAUCGGGGCUAAUACCGGAGGGGUCAUCGGACCGCAUGGCACGAGGAUGAGAGGAGCUUCGGCGUCGCCUGGAGUGGGCUUUGCGGUGCAUUAGCUAGUUGGUGGGGUAAUGGGCCACCAAGGCGACGAUGCAUAGCCGACCUGAGAGGGUGAUCGGCCACACUGGGACUGAGACACGGCCCAGACUCCUACGGGAGGCAGCAGUAGGGAAUCUUCCACAAUGGACGAAAGUCUGAUGGAGCAACGCCGCGUGAACGAUGAAGGCCUUCGGGUCGUAAAGUUCUGUUAGGGAAGAACAAGUGCCGCAGGCAAUGGCGGCACCUUGACGGUACCUUGCGAGAAAGCCACGGCUAACUACGUGCCAGCCGCCGCCGUAA
RNAcentral lists this ribosomal RNA (521 nucleotides) under uncultured bacterium. RNAcentral describes it as "partial 16S ribosomal RNA". It matches the Rfam family "Bacterial small subunit ribosomal RNA", at positions 28 to 523 of the family's 1533-position model. The record is from RNAcentral.